Molecule: ribosomal RNA, 116 nt
Filed under: Pteropus alecto (black flying fox)
Lineage: Eukaryota; Metazoa; Chordata; Mammalia; Chiroptera; Pteropodidae
Source: RNAcentral
GUCUACGGCCAUGCCACUCUGAACAAACCUGACAUCUGAUCUCAGGAGCUAAGCAGGAUUGGGCCUGAUUAGUAAUUGGAUGGGAGGCCACCUAGGAAGACCAGGUACUGUAGGCA